RNAcentral lists this ribosomal RNA (322 nucleotides) under Panjange alba. Its description in RNAcentral is "partial 12S ribosomal RNA". Lineage: Eukaryota; Metazoa; Arthropoda; Arachnida; Araneae; Pholcidae. The record is from RNAcentral.
AAGUUAAUAAUAAAAGGUAAUAAGAUAUAAACCAAUAUGUAAUGGUAGUCUUUAUAAAUUAAAGAAGCUCGUCUUAUAAUCGUAAACACCCGCUAAUUUUUACUUAAUCUUAAAAGUUUAUAUACCGCCGUUAAGAUUUAAUAAUAUAUACAUGUCUAAUCCUACUAACAACAAAUUUCAGGUCAAGGUGUAACCCGUUAUUAAGGAAAGAUAAGCUACACAUAAACAAGAAAUUAAGAAAGAAAAACAAAAGUACAUCAGAAAAAGAAUUUAUAUGUAAAUAGUGAUUAAAACUCAUUAUAGAACUUAUAAAUAAAGAUGC